CCGUGAGGGAAAGAUCAAAAGCACUUUGAAAAGAGGGUGAAAAGAACCUGAAACCGUUACGACAGAAGCGUAUUGCGUUGAAUUGAGGGCUGUUUAACUCUUCAGCUGAACGUGAGUUUAGUGUACUGAGUUAAGUAGUUAUCCGUCGUGCCUUUUCUGUGGCUGAUAUUGAGCCGCGGGAGAGGGAGGGAUCCCCUUUAUGGGUGAGGACGAUGGAGUGGCAACGCGAUGCGACCCGUCUUGAAACACGGACCAAGGAGUCUAACAUGUUUGCGAGUUGAAGGGUAGUAAACCUGGAGGCGCAGUGAAAGCGAACUUCUAAAACGGACAGUUUGUGGCGGCAUAAAAUCGUUGAUUUUAGGUCUGACUAAGAGCAAAUAUGUUAGGACCCGAAAGAUGGUGAACUAUGCUUGAGUAGGCCGAAGGCAGAAGAAAUUCUGCUGGAGGGCCGAAGCGGUGCUGACGUGCAAAUCGCUCGUCGAACUCGAGUAUAGGGGCGAAAGACUAAUCGAACCAUCUAGUAGCUGGUUCCCUCCGAAGUUUCUCUCAGGAUAGCGGGCCGACAAUUAUUGUUUUGUGCGGUAAAGCGAAUGAUUAGCGCACUCGGGGGCAUUCAGUCUUCGGUCGAUUCUCAAACUUUUAAUGCGCAAGGGGGCUGCAGCUUAG
Molecule: ribosomal RNA, 666 nt
Filed under: Lomentaria articulata
Lineage: Eukaryota; Rhodophyta; Florideophyceae; Rhodymeniales; Lomentariaceae
Description: eukaryotic LSU rRNA
Rfam family: Eukaryotic large subunit ribosomal RNA
Source: RNAcentral